CUAAUUCUACCCAACAAUAUUCAGAUCCCCCCAGCCCAGUUUCUUUUCAUAUCAACAGGCCCAAACCACAAACCACCUAAGCCCAAAUCUUAAAAUACCCCAGCCCACUUUUUAAACAAUGACUCGGUCUAUGCCCAUUUAUUUCCUCUCCACCAAUAAAACAAAACAAGAAGAACCUUCAACAUCGACCAAAACAGCCAAAAACACGAUAAUCAGCUCCAAACGACCCCAAAACCCGACCUUAUACCGACUUCCACCACCAACUCCACGCUGAUAACGGUGAAACCCAACCCAAAUUCGGUGAAAACUAGUUUCCCGAGUACCGACCCAACUCUGUUCGAAUCGACCCAACCUUGACCCAUGCAGAUUCGCAAAGAAUUUGGUUGAAUCUUCUAGAAUACGAUGCGUUGGCCUCUCCAACGGUUGAAUCCCAAGAUUUUUGGGUUUAUUGGUACGAAUUCGUACACACCUAUUGAAUUUCUAUUGGUUCGUGAAGGAAUUUCAUCACUUCAAAUCCAUUGGCUGGAGAAUUUUGGAUUUCACGAAGAAAAUUCCAAAAUUAGUACGAGUUUCUUGAUGGAAAACGUUCCUAAGUUUAAAUUUUGAAUUCCUUUUUGAAAGAAAAUCCCAAAAUAACCCCAGGAGGCCCCAUUUUUUGUUCCAUCGGAUUGAAGUUCUAGAAAACCCUAGUUGUUCUCUAUAAAAAGGGAGUUUUAUAAGUCUUGAAGGGGGAUUUUCGAAAAUUCUAGAGAGGUUCUCUGGAGGUUAGAAAUUCGAGGGUUGGGAUAUUUGGGAAAAUUUGAGAGGAAUGACAAGAAAGAGAGAGAAGGAAGAAAGAAAAAGAAAGAAAAUUCCUAAGAAGUUCAAUCUUUCAGUAGAAAUUUUGUUGAUUUUUAGAGAAUUCUUCGGCUAGGAAAGAGACUCCGAGUUGACGACAAUACUUUCUGGUGGUCAGAAUCCUAUCGUCAACUCGUCGUCCUAUUUUUCUGCCCCAGAAAAGGUGAAUAUACUCUUGUUCUUUUAAUUUUGGCACAUCCCCCUUUUUCUACGUAGAAUUAGCUAAUAUUUCAACUGUAAUUAUGAAUGAGGCUGGGUUUUGUCUGCUGUAGAUGGCCGUGAUGGCCUUAGGUUUUUUUUUGUGAUUAUCGUUAUGCCAUUUUGCUGAAGCAGUGCUCGUGUUAUAAUUUUUAAUGUGAUUAUGCCAAAUAUACUGUCUUUUAAUUGGCGCCGUUGGUUAUAUGAUAGUUAUGGUGUGAAUAAACAUUUAUAUCAUCAAGAUUGCACCUUUUCUUUCCAGUUUCCCUUUUUGAUGUAGCGUUUCUUGCUAUGCUAUGCUAGGCUAACUGUUAUUAUAAUCAUUUGAUCCGUGAUUCCAGCUUCGUGUUGCUUCCCUCAGUUUUGCAAUCUGUUGUUUAAACCUUAAUAUCGUUAGUUAAUUAUUUAACCAUGGUUUUCAUUUUUCGCAUGUUGCUUAUGGUUUGAUUUGCUAUCUCUAUGUUUGAACAUUCCUAUUUUAGUCUAGUUAUGUCUUCUUUAGCGUACCUUGGCUCUGAUUCGCCCUAAUUUUUUUAUGUCCUGUCCUUAAUACAAGGUCACCAGUGAUGAUUUAAUUAACUAAAUCAGCAGGAUUCAGACUACCUCAUAACUUUUGACCUUUGAGACAGAUAGAGAUGAUGGGUAUACAUCUGUGGUAAGGUGAUAGUCCCAUGAACUCUCGAUGACCCUGCUUUGGGAUUUUGAAAGUUCAUUUCUAGUUGAGGUCAAAAAGAGAGUAAGGAGGGCCUCACAGAUGUAUUUCUGAGAAGUGCGAAUGGCAUUCUUGUUAUGUGUUAAUUAAAGAAUAAAAAAAGGGUGCUGCUUUGGUCAUUCACUGUAAACAUGUUUGCCUAGAUGUUACAACUUGCUUAAUUACAUCUUACUUUGAAAAUUGUCUAGCCUUUCCCUCACUCCUUUGCUCCCUUUGUUUUGUUAGACGUAUGUUAGAUUUUCGCCUUAUCUACCUUCAGAAUAAAAUUCCUAUGGUUAAUUUUAUGUUUCCUAGGCUAGUCGAUGUUCAUUCAAGUUUCUUUCCCUUUUUUUUCUUUACUUUUGAUUCAAUUUUGUUUCAUCUGCCUAGAACUUUUGGAGUUCUGUAAGGCGUUUUCCGACUAUUGAAUAAUGCUUGAGUGUUUACUAUUCCCCCCUCCAAAACUGUUUAAAGUUCUAUGUUUCGUUAAUGUCGACCUUUCUCGAUGUAUUGGCAUGAGUGUCGCAUUUUUUUAGUAUGAAAGGUCAGAUAAUAAUAAGUUCGGAUGGUUGCCUCUGGAAUUCAGUUUUAAUGAAGAUUUGGCAUCUACGGAAGAUGUUCUCGUUAUUCUACCCUUAAUUGAUUACCUUGUGUCAUGAGAUUCGUUCGUCGAAGUUUGAAUUUUCUCAGACUGCUCUUUAUUCCAAAAUUGUCGUAGUAGCCAUCGAAUCUUUAAAGAGUAUGGAAAAUCUAUUCUUUAGCAGCCGUUUUUUCAUGUAGUUUGAUUACUUUCCUCAGUUGAACACUUUCUUUACUUUAAAUCCUAGCCCUUUAGCUUGUUAUCUGCACCUUAGUAUGACAAGAUUGGAUUUUUAUUCUGUUUCUCCUGAUUAUCGAUGAAUCAUUGUUUGCUAUAAUUUUAAAUCCUUAGUCUUGCACCUGUAGUUGCUUGUGUUAGCUUAAGUCCAUGGUGAAAUGUUGCCUGUUGUAGUUCUUUAACUCAUUAUUUUAAUAGUGUAAUGAUGUUUAGCAUGGUUCGACUAAUUUUUUGUUCAAUAUAAUUUGGAUGAACGUAUCCCCAGGCUCAAUCUAACUAAAUUGUAGUUUGUUUGAUAAAUAGGGUGGCUUUGUAACCUGUUUAGUUUAGUUCAGCUAUAAUUUCCUUUGCAAAGCAAUGCUUCAUUUUUUUUGGGAAAAUCUGUGAUAUUGUGAUGCCUCUAGUUUUAAUUUUAUUCUGAUAGAGUAUGGUGUGUGUUACUAGUUGGAUGACGCUGCCAUAUUCGAAUUACUGUCUUUCAGUUUGUUUGAGUCACUACAGUUUACUAUUUGUUUAUCAAUUUGUUAUGCUAUUUCUCUAUGUAGCAUUUCGUAUUUUGGGUGUGCAUUAAUUUCGUUUCUUUUUCUUCUUUUGCAUGACAAUUCGUUGGAGUCUAAACGGACUCUUUGCAUUCUCUAAUGGGCCAAUAAGGCCCAUCCAUUAAGUCAAGCCUGAAAGAGAGUCUAAAGUUACAUAGUGCACGGAUACGAAGAGUCGAACGAAGAAGGAAAAUGGGUUAAAAACCUACAUUUGAAGCAUCCGAGAGACUUGAAAGUCUCGGUUUCCAUUUCAUUCAUUUAUUUAGUCAUUUAUUUAUUGUUGUCAUUAUUUAUUUAGUUAUUUAUUUUUAUUCAUUCAUUUGGGCCUAGAAGCCAAAGUUGUAUUUAAUACAUGUGGAGCAAGAUUCGAGUCAAAGGCUCGAAAACUUAACUAGGACAGGUGAAAUGGGUCUAAAGCCCAAUUAGACUAGGACAAGUCUCGUUGAUUUGGGCCCAAUGGCUUAAAAUCCCUUACUUCCUCCCCUUCCCCUCUUCUUUAUGCUUGUUUGUUUUAUGUGUUUUGCGAACCUAGUUAAAUCCUUAGUAAAGUCGCUAAAAAACUGAUUUUUGCAAAAAACUUUUUCCUAAUCAACUACUUUUCAACAAAUUUAAUCCUUUUUGAAGUUAGUCAAAAGACGUUUUCAAAAAAGAUCGGAUAACCGCAAGUUAGCGGACGUUACAUCUUUCUAAAAUGUUAAUAGGAAUCACUUACUUAGAAUCUCUACCUUAAACGAUUUUCCUAUUUUGGAUUGUUUAAAGUAUUUAUAAAGGUUUCUUAAUUCCUUUUCAAAAUUAAGUGGCGACUCUCAAAAAAUUCAAUUUUUUUUUGCAAAACAGAAAUGGUAACUCUGUUGGAGAUUUUAACUAUGUUCUAACCAAAUGUUUGAUUUUGUCUUUUGAUUAACUGUUUAUGUGUUUAUAUGUUUUGAUUCUGUAAAGUUUAACUAUCGCAUCUCAUGGCAUAUUCCUGCAUUAUUUAAACUAUUUGGGGUAUCGUAGAUGUCCUGGCCCUUAUUGUUCUAUUCCAAAAUGUGUUGGAAAUACGAAUGGCUUAUUAUCACGUGAGUCAUCUGAUGGUUGUUUGUAUUUUCAAACUCAAGUUGUCCGCUUAAGAAUCAGUGUUCAAACCCACUCUAGACACCGAGGAUAGAACGAAACCAAAACCCUAUUUUAGGCAUGAGCCUAGGACAACCCAAUACCCGAGCGGGGUAUUGGGCCCAUUAGAAAACCUGCCCUGCGUCUUUUGACCCCGAGUCAAUUACAGACAAAUCAUAUUAUGUGUUGAAAAAAAUAUAUGCUUGUCUAAUUCAAUCCAAUACCCUUUGGGGUCGGGGGAAGGCUUAUCUUUGACUACUUUCAUGUAGGAUAUGGCUCAACUACAUUCCCACAAAAAGUUCAAGAUGGUUAUUAAACUUGACGAUUUCUUGAAACUAUGGUAGGAUCACAUUACCGCAGAAGAGAGAAAGAUUGUUAGAACACACAUCGGAUAUCUCCCUUCUUUGAUCGAGAUUUACACAUGGCCUGAAAUGAUCCAUGUGCUAACAACUUUUUAGGAUGAUUAGAAUAUGAUAUUUCAC
RNAcentral lists this long non-coding RNA (4659 nucleotides) under Capsicum annuum. RNAcentral describes it as "long non-coding RNA (CANN_LNC009691)". Lineage: Eukaryota; Viridiplantae; Streptophyta; Magnoliopsida; Solanales; Solanaceae. The record is from RNAcentral.